Molecule: ribosomal RNA, 301 nt
Filed under: uncultured bacterium
Lineage: Bacteria
Description: partial 16S ribosomal RNA
Rfam family: Bacterial small subunit ribosomal RNA
Source: RNAcentral
CAGUAGCCACGGUAAUACAGAGGGUGCGAGCGUUAAUCGGAUUUACUGGGCGUAAAGCGUGCGUAGGCGGCUUUUUAAGUCGGAUGUGAAAUCCCCGAGCUUAACUUGGGAAUUGCAUUCGAUACUGGGAAGCUAGAGUAUGGGAGAGGAUGGUAGAAUUCCAGGUGUAGCGGUGAAAUGCGUAGAGAUCUGGAGGAAUACCGAUGGCGAAGGCAGCCAUCUGGCCUAAUACUGACGCUGAGGUACGAAAGCAUGGGGAGCAAACAGGAUUAGAUACCCGCGUAGUCCCUGUCUCUUAUAC